GGACCACCCCGUGUCCCCUCCCCAGGACCUGGAGAUCAGCGUCACCGAGCUCCAGACCAUCCUCAACCGCAUCAUCGCCAAACACAAAGAUCUGCGGACCAAGGGCUUCAGCAUCGAGUCCUGCCGGAGCAUGGUGAACCUGAUGGACAAAGACGGGAACGGGAAACUGGGGCUGGUGGAGUUCAACGUCCUCUGGAACCGCAUCCGCAACUACCUG
This is a long non-coding RNA of Pyrgilauda ruficollis (rufous-necked snowfinch), 217 nucleotides long. RefSeq lists it as uncharacterized. The transcript is spliced from 3 exons. The record is from RefSeq and is a predicted model, not a curated record. NCBI's taxonomy places the organism in Eukaryota, Metazoa, Chordata, Aves, Passeriformes, Passeridae.